UUUCUGAUUUCAAUCGUGCAUCAAAUGCUUCAAAAGAUUUGACUACUUCGAUUUUGAUUCUAAUUUAUUCCGAUUUUUAUUUCGGUUGUGAAUCAAAUAUCUCCUCAAUAUAUUCUAUUUUAGCCAUUCUUCACUAUGCUCUUAUAUUAGGAGAGCUUUGCAUCACUUCAGCAUUUAUUCUAUGGCAAUUGCUCCUCAUCCUUUGUGGACUUGGUUUGCCAUGAAGAGAUAUGGA
RNAcentral lists this long non-coding RNA (235 nucleotides) under Elaeis guineensis (African oil palm). RNAcentral describes it as "long non-coding RNA (EGUI_LNC028695)". The record is from RNAcentral. Lineage: Eukaryota; Viridiplantae; Streptophyta; Magnoliopsida; Arecales; Arecaceae.